ACUGUAUGUGUGUACUAGAUAAUUAAUUUUAUAUCCGUUAAUUUCUUUGUUAGUUUUUUAUCUUGAUGUUGCAUUGUCUAUUCUUCAUUUCUUUAGUUUCGUAUCCGUAUAAUUUUAUUUCCUUUCUACAAUAUUGUGCCAUAAGAGUUAAUUUUCUUAAUCUCGUUUUUACAUUUGAUCUGUACUCCUUUUGCUACCCUUCUAUAAGCGUAAGGGUAUAACUUUCAGGUUUCCCUAGGAAAAUAGAAGUUUAUUUGGAAAUACUUGUCAUGUAAGUUUCCUCUGCAUCCCUUAUUCUUCUCCAUUUAGUAUUGUUGUUCAUUCUUCUCUUUUAUGUUUAAGUGCUAUUUGUUGACCGCAUGUAUGUAGUAGAGAAUUAAUUUUCAAUCCUUUCAUUUCUUUGUUUUUUGUAAGAGCUUGAUGUUGUGUUUUCUAUUCCUCAUUUCUUUAGUUUUGUAUCAUAAUAAUUUGAUUUACUUUCAAGGACAUUGUGGUUUUCACAUUUGAUCUAUACACCUUUCUCUACCUUUCUUUAAGCAUAAAGGUAGAAUUUUCAGGUUUCCCGUGGUAAAGAGAAGUUUAUUGCGAAUUAGUUCUUGGAUAAGUUUNNNNNNNNNNNNNNNNNNNNNNNNNNNNNNNNNNNNNNNNNNNNNNNNNNNNNNNNNNNNNNNNNNNNNNNNNNNNNNNNNNNNNNNNNNNNNNNNNNNNAAAUGUUAGAACCACAAUGUCNCUUGAGAGUAAAUAAAAUUAUUCGGAUACGAAACUAAAGAUAUGAGCAAUAGAAAACACAACAUCAAGCCUUAAAAAAAAAAAACAAAGAAAUCAAAGGAUUGAAAAUUAAUUCUCUACUACAUACAUGAGGUCAACAAAUAACACUCAAACAUAAAAGACAAGAAUAAAGAACAAUGCGAAAUGGAAGAGAAUAGGGGAUACGAAGGAAACUUACCUGACAAGGAUUUCCAAAUAAGCUUCUCUUCUCCUCGGGACACUUGAAAAUUCUACCCUUACGCUUAUAGAAAGUAGAGAAAAGAGUAGAGAUCAAAUGUAAAAACGAGAGUAAGAAAAUUAACUCUCAAGAGACAAUAUCGUUGAAAUGAAAUUAAAUUAUGCUGAUACGAAACUAAAAAAAUGAGGAAUAGAUAACGCAACAUCAAGAUAAAAAAAAAAACAAAGAAAUUAACGGAUUCAAAAAUAAUUUUCUAAUACACACAUACAAUAGACGUAUAACACAAAACCAUAAAAGAUAACAAUGAAAAACAAUGCAAAAUGUGAGAGAAUAAGGAAUACGGAGGAAACUUAUCCAAUAACCAAUUCCCAAUAAACUUUUGUUCACCACGGGAAACCUUAAAAUUCUACCUUUACGCUUAAAGCAAGGUAGAGAAAGGAGUAGAUAUCAAAUGUUAAAACCACAAUGUCCUUGAAAGUAAAUCAAAUUAUUCUGAUACGAAACUAAAGAAAUGAGGAAUAGAAAACACAAGAUCAAGCUUUAAAAAAAAAAACAAAGAAAUCAAAGAAUUGAAAAUUAAUUUUCUGCUACACACAUGCGGUCAACAAAUAACACUCAAACAUAAAAGACAAGAAUCAAGAACAAUGCGAAGUGGAAGAGAAUAGUGGAUACGAAGGAAACUUACCUGACAAGGAUAUCCAAAUAAGCUUCUCUUCUCCUCGGGACACUUGAAAAUUCUACCCCUACGCUUAUAGAAAGUAGAGAAAAGAGUAGAGAUCAAAUGUAAAAACGAGAGUAAGAAAAUUAACUCUCAAGAGACAAUAUCGUUGAAAUUAAAUUAAAUUAUGUUGAUACGAAACUAAAAAAAUGAGGAAUAGAUAACGCAACAUCAAGAUAAAAAAAAAAAACAAAGAAAUUAACGGAUUCAAAAAUAAUUUUCUAAUACACACAUACAGUAGACGUAUAACACAAAACUAUAAAAGGUAACAAUGAAAAACAAUGCAAAAUGUGAGAGAAUAGGGAAUACGGAGGAAACUUAUCCAAUAACCAAUUCCCAAUAAACUUUUGUUCACCACGGGAAACCUUAAAAUUCUACCCUUACGCUUAAAGCAAGGUAGAGAAAUGAGUAGAUAUCAAAUGUUAAAACCACAAUGUCCUUGAAAGUAAAUCAAAUUAUUCUGAUACGAAACUAAAGAAAUGAGGAAUAGAAAACACAAGAUCAAGCUUUGAAAAAAAAAACAAAGAAAUCAAAGGAUUGAAAAUUAAUUUUCUGCUACACACAUGCGGUCAACAAAUAACACUCAAACAUAAAAGAGAAGAAUGAAAAAUAAUGCGAAAUGGAGGAAAAUAGGGGAUAAGGAGGAAACUUACCUGACAAGUAUUUCCCCAUAAACAUCUUUUUUCCUCGAGAAACCUAAAAAUUCUACCCUUACGCUUAUAGAAGGUAGCGAAAGGAGUAGAGAUCAAAUGUAAAAAUGAGAAUAAGAAAAUUAACUCUUAAGGCUCAAUAUUGUUAAAAGGAAAUCAAAUUCUGCUGACACGAAACUAAAGAAAUGAGGAAUAGACAACGCAACAUCAAGAUAAAAAACAAACAAAGAAAUUAAUGGAUUCAAAAUUAAUUUUCUAGAACACACGUAUAGUAGACAUAUAACACGAAAACAUAAAAGAUAAAUAAGAAGAACAACGCAAAAUUUGAGAGAAUAGGGAAUAUGGAGAAAACUUAUUGAAGAACUAAUUCCCAAUAAACUUCUCUUGACCAGGGGAAACCUGAAAAUUCUACCCUUACGCUUAAAGCAAGGUAGAGAAAGGAGUAGAGAUCAAAUUUUAAAACCACAAUGUACUUGAAAGUAAAUAAAAUUAUUUUGAUAAGAAACUAAAGAAAUGAGAAAUAGAAAACACAACAUAGAGCAAUAAAAAAAAACAAUGAAAUCAAAGGAUUGAAAAUUCAUUAUCCACUAGAUACACGCAGUGAACAAAUAACACUCAAACAUAAAAAAAAAAAGAAUGAAGAACAAUGCGAAAUGGUGGAGAAUAGGGGAUACAGAGAAAACUUACCUGACAAAUAUUUCCAAACAAACCACUCUUUUCCUCGGGAAACCUAAAAAAUUCUACACUUAUGCUUAUAGAAUGUAGCGAAAUGAGUAGAUAUCAAAAGUAAAAACGAGAAUAAGAAAAUUAAUUCUUAAGGCGCAAUAUCGUUGAAAGGAAAUCAAAUUAUGCAAAUACAAAACUAAAGAAAUGAGGAAUAGACAACGCAAGAUCAAGAUAAAAAACAACCAAAGAAAUUAACGGAUUCAAAAUUAAUUUUCUAGUACACAGAUACAGUAGACAUAUAACAUGAAAACAUACAAGAUAAAUAUGAAGAACAUUGCAAAAUUUGAGAGAAUAGGGAAUACGGAGGAAACUUAUCCAAGAACUAAUUCUCAAUAAACUUUCCUUCACAACGGGAAACCUGAAAAUUCUACCCUUUCGCUUAAAGCAAGGUACAGAAAGGAUUAGAGAUCAAAUGUUAAAACCACAAUGUCCUUGAAAGUAAAUAAAAUUAUUUUGAUAAGAAACUAAAGAAAUGAGCAAUAGAAAACACAACAUAGAGCUCUAAAAAAAACAAUGAAAUCAAAGGAUUGAAAAUUCAUUCUCUACUACAUACACGUAGUCAACAAAUAACACUCAAACAAAAUAGAGACGAAUGAAGAACAAUGCGAAAUGGAGGAGAAUAGGUGAUACAAACAAACUACUCUUUUCCUCGGGAAACCUGAAAAUUCUACUUUCACGCUUACCUGACAAGUAUGUGUGUACUAGAAAAUUAAUUUUGAAUCCGUUAAUUUCUUUGUUUGUUUUUUAUCUUGACCUUGCAUUGUUUAUUCCUCAUUUCUUUAGUUUUGUAUCUACAUAAUUUGAUUUGCUUUCAACGAUAUUGUGCCUUAAGAGUUCAUUUUCUUAUUCUCGUUUUUACUUUUGAUCUGUACUCCUUUCGCUACAUUCGAUAAGCGUAAGGGUAAAAUUUUCAGGUUUCUCGAGGAAAAGAGAAGUUUGUUUGGAAAUACUUGUCAGGUAAGUUUUCUCUGUAUCCCCUAUUCUCCUCCAUUUCGCAUUGUUCUUCAUUCUUCUCUUUUAUGUUUAAGUGUUAUUUGUUGAAUUCGUGUAUGUAGUAG
RNAcentral lists this long non-coding RNA (4098 nucleotides) under Vitis vinifera (wine grape). Its description in RNAcentral is "long non-coding RNA (VVIN_LNC003542)". The record is from RNAcentral. Lineage: Eukaryota; Viridiplantae; Streptophyta; Magnoliopsida; Vitales; Vitaceae.